GUACACGCUGUGACUAGCAUAUCAAUAAGCGGAGGAAAAGAAACCUAACAAGGAUUCCCCUAGUAACGGCGAGUGAAGCGGGAAGAGCUCAAAUUUGAAAUCUUAAAGGGUUUCCCUUUACGAAUUGUAGUUUAAAGAAGUGUUUUCUGUUGAGGUUUUGGUAAAAGUUCUUUGGAAUAGGACAUCAUAGAGGGUGAGAAUCCCGUAUUUGACCUUUACUUUCAACUUUGUGAUACACUUUCAAAGAGUCGGAUUGUUUGGGAAUGCAGUCCAAAAUGGGUGGUAAAUUUCAUCUAAAGCUAAACAUUGGCGAGAGACCGAUAGCGAACGAGUACCGUGAGGGAAAGAUGAAAAGAACUUUGAAAAGAGAGUUAAACAGUACGUGAAAUUGUCAAAAGGGAAGCGUUUGACACCAGUGUUGUUUUUCUGAAAAUCAAUUAAAGAACUGUUUAUGCUAAGCUGUUUAGACUUUAUCAGCUAACUGUUUAGUUUUGAGCUUUUCUUUAAUGCACUUUUCAGUUAACAAGUCAACAUCAAUUUCUUUUGCUGUAAAAAAGCUUGAGGAAGGUGGCUUGAGAUUCGUCUUAAGUGUUUAUAGCCUCUUGCCUAUGCAGUCGGAGAGAUUGAGGUCUGCAGCGUAGAUCCUUCGGGGCUAAAUGCAUUUGUGCUAAGUUAUAGCAUUUUAUAGACAACUUGUUGACUAUGAUUUGUCUUGUAGCUUACUCGCUUAUGUUAUUUUACCUACGCUUAGGAUGUUGAGUCGUAGAGCACGCAG
This 775-nucleotide ribosomal RNA is filed under the name uncultured Neocallimastigales. RNAcentral's name for it is "partial large subunit ribosomal RNA". It matches the Rfam family "Eukaryotic large subunit ribosomal RNA", at positions 22 to 628 of the family's 3401-position model. The record is from RNAcentral. Lineage: Eukaryota; Fungi; Neocallimastigomycota; Neocallimastigomycetes; Neocallimastigales.